CCUACGGGGGGCGGCAGUGGGGAAUUUUGGACAAUGGGCGCAAGCCUGAUCCAGCAAUGCCGCGUGAGUGAAGAAGGCCUUCGGGUUGUAAAGCUCUUUUGUCAGGGAAGAAACGGUCUAGGUUAAUACCUUGGGCUAAUGACGGUACCUGAAGAAUAAGCACCGGCUAACUACGUGCCAGCAGCCGCGGUAAUACGUAGGGUGCAAGCGUUAAUCGGAAUUACUGGGCGUAAAGCGUGCGCAGGCGGUUAUAUAAGUCAGAUGUGAAAUCCCCGGGCUCAACCUGGGAAUGGCAUUUGAGACUGUAUGGCUAGAGUGUGUCAGAGGGGGGUAGAAUUCCACGUGUAGCAGUGAAAUGCGUAGAGAUGUGGAGGAAUACCGAUGGCGAAGGCAGCCCCCUGGGAUAACACUGACGCUCAUGCACGAAAGCGUGGGGAGCAAACAGGAUUAGAUACCCUGGUAGUCCACGCCCUAAACGAUGUCUACUAGUUGUCGGGACUUAAUUGUCUUGGUAACGCAGCUAACGCGUGAAGUAGACCGCCUGGGGAGUACGGUCGCAAGAUUAAAACUCAAAGGAAUUGACGG
RNAcentral lists this ribosomal RNA (585 nucleotides) under uncultured bacterium. RNAcentral describes it as "bacterial SSU rRNA". It matches the Rfam family "Bacterial small subunit ribosomal RNA", at positions 338 to 916 of the family's 1533-position model. The record is from RNAcentral.